Mangifera indica (mango) is the source of this 610-nucleotide long non-coding RNA. RefSeq lists it as uncharacterized. The record is from RefSeq and is a predicted model, not a curated record. NCBI's taxonomy places the organism in Eukaryota, Viridiplantae, Streptophyta, Magnoliopsida, Sapindales, Anacardiaceae. The transcript has 2 exons.
UUAUAUUUGAGAUCCUAACAUAAGUUUUUCUCUCCAUCGAAACAAUAAAGCUUUAUGCUCAUUACUAAACUUAUUGAAGAAAUGAAAUAGAACUAAGGUAUAUCUUUUUUAUCAAAGGUUGGAUGGAGUUCUAGGAAAAUAAAACUUCUAUAGGAGAGGAGCAAAUGAAAGGCUUUUAUAAAAAUUCUCACAGAAUCGAACAAACUUUGUAUAUUAGUUAAGACUCAACAAUCACCUUUUACUUUUCAACCAACAGAAGCGUAAUCAAGGUAUUGUAACUCAACAAUUUCAAAAUCUUUCAAAUCUCUUAUGGUUGUAUGAAGUACUCUGUCCUUGCCAAACACAGCGGCGGAUCAUGCAUAUACAUGUUUGGUUUUUGCCAUGUUUUAUUAAAAGAUCCUCUCCUCAUUCAGAAAAAGAUUGGCUGAAGACUGGUUUCGCAGGGCAACUUGUCAUCACUUCCUACGUGCUUCAGUCAAUUGUUAAAGAAAAUCACAAUUGCCGUUUCCUUUCCUAUAAAAAGCUUCAAUAUGUAAAACUUUCAUGAAGGUUUUCUACGGUGGAUAAUUAAAUGCAGAAAGCUGAAAGUGAUCAGUAGAAAAUUCACACC